GACGAACGCUGGCGGCGUGCUUAACACAUGCAAGUCGAACGGAAAGGCCCUGCUUUUGUGGGGUGCUCGAGUGGCGAACGGGUGAGUAACACGUGAGUAACCUGCCCUUGACUUUGGGAUAACUUCAGGAAACUGGGGCUAAUACCGGAUAGGAGCUCCUGCUGCAUGGUGGGGGUUGGAAAGUUUCGGCUGUUGGGGAUGGACUCGCGGCUUAUCAGCUUGUUGGUGGGGUAGUGGCUUACCAAGGCUUUGACGGGUAGCCGGCCUGAGAGGGUGACCGGCCAAAUUGGGACUGAGAUAAGGCCCAGACUCGUACGGGAGGCAGCAGUGGGGAAGAUUGCACAAUGGGCGGAAGCCGGAUGCAGUAACGCCGCGUGCGGGAUGACGGCAUUCGGGUUGUAAACCGCUUUCGCCUGUGACGAAGCGUGAGUGACGGUAAUGGGUAAAGAAGCACCGGCUAACUACGUG
This 468-nucleotide ribosomal RNA is filed under the name uncultured bacterium. RNAcentral describes it as "partial 16S ribosomal RNA". It matches the Rfam family "Bacterial small subunit ribosomal RNA", at positions 28 to 507 of the family's 1533-position model. The record is from RNAcentral.